RNAcentral lists this long non-coding RNA (545 nucleotides) under Nicotiana benthamiana. RNAcentral describes it as "long non-coding RNA (NBEN_LNC018188)". The record is from RNAcentral. Lineage: Eukaryota; Viridiplantae; Streptophyta; Magnoliopsida; Solanales; Solanaceae.
UUUCUUUUUGGUAGACGCCAAGCUAAUAGAUUCCGGUGUUUUUCCAGAAGGAAACAAAUGCCUUUGCAUCGAAAGAAGCAAUAAAAAAUAAGAGAAAGGGAGAAGCAGCGACAGCGAGCAGUGGGUGUCGUCGGGAUUCCGGUCGCCGAAAUUUUGGGUUAAAACCAAUUCCAAAUUGUAGCUCUUGUUGAGCUCUAUCUAUGUAUGUAAAAUUAGGUGGAAAGGGAGCCUCAAUCUCCACGAAUUUAUCAAAAGGUGGUGGCUAGGAUUUUGGUUUAGGCUAGAUUCGUGGAAUUUGGUUAGGAUUUGAAGGAUAUGAGGCUUGGAUUCAAGGAGAGGAGGUUGAGAGGAAGAAAUGGUAAAAUUUUGGGGUGGUUUGGAGGUUGCCCGCCACCGGUGGCGAAUUCCGGCGGGCGGAGCAGAGGCGGCGGUGGUAGAGGAGCAGGAGAGAAGAGAAAGGGGUUGCCCACCGGCGGUUGAGAAUUCUGGCGGACGGAGCAGAGGCGGCGAUGGCAGAGUAGUGGGAAAGAAGAGAGGGGCUCUAG